CAGCCGCCGCGGUAAUACGUAGGGUGCGAGCGUUAAUCGGAAUUACUGGGCGUAAAGCGUGCGCAGGCGGUUUUGUAAGACAGGUGUGAAAUCCCCGGGCUCAACCUGGGAAUGGCGCUUGUGACUGCAAAGCUAGAGUGCGGCAGAGGGGGAUGGAAUUCCGCGUGUAGCAGUGAAAUGCGUAGAUAUGCGGAGGAACACCGAUGGCGAAGGCAAUCCCCUGGGCCUGCACUGACGCUCAUGCACGAAAGCGUGGGGAGCAAACAGGAUUAGAUACCCCUGUAGUCCCUGUCUCUUAUAC
Molecule: ribosomal RNA, 301 nt
Filed under: uncultured bacterium
Lineage: Bacteria
Description: partial 16S ribosomal RNA
Rfam family: Bacterial small subunit ribosomal RNA
Source: RNAcentral